This 472-nucleotide unclassified non-coding RNA is filed under the name Hevea brasiliensis (rubber tree). Lineage: Eukaryota; Viridiplantae; Streptophyta; Magnoliopsida; Malpighiales; Euphorbiaceae. The record is from RNAcentral.
CGGUAGUCCGACACCCUUCUUAGUGGACUUGGCACUGCGGUGAGCACAAGGGCAAAUUAUUGUUCAAACAAUUGAUUGAAUUUAGAUGUGGAUUCAUUACGUUCCGCUAUUUUGGUUGAUAUUUCGAAAUUGAGGUUUCUGAUUCUCUGUAUAAUGGACUCGAUUUGGGCGAACAAUGGUGCCCCCGCCGUUUCUCAUUUGUUCUAUGCCAUUUUCUUCGCUUUUGGUUUCGUCAUCGUCAGAUUGUUCCUUGACAGAUUCAUCUUUCGGAGGCUAGCCGUUUUGUUGCUGCGCCUGGGAACAACCCAUCUCAGGAACGAUGAGGCUACGAGAGGAAAAAUUGUUAAAUGCUCUGAAUCCAUGUGGAAAUUUGCUUAUUAUGCAACUAUUGAGUUUUGUGUCUUAAAAGUUGCUUAUCAUGAGCCAUGGUUCCUAGAUGUGAAGGGAUAUUUCAGUGGCUGGCCAAAUCAAG